This 2900-nucleotide ribosomal RNA is filed under the name Klebsiella pneumoniae. RNAcentral describes it as "bacterial LSU rRNA". It matches the Rfam family "Bacterial large subunit ribosomal RNA". Lineage: Bacteria; Pseudomonadati; Pseudomonadota; Gammaproteobacteria; Enterobacterales; Enterobacteriaceae. The record is from RNAcentral.
UUAAGCGACUAAGCGUACACGGUGGAUGCCCUGGCAGUCAGAGGCGAUGAAGGACGUGCUAAUCUGCGAAAAGCGUCGGUAAGGUGAUAUGAACCGUUAUAACCGGCGAUGUCCGAAUGGGGAAACCCAGUGUGAUUCGUCACACUAUCGUUAACUGAAUACAUAGGUUAACGAGGCGAACCGGGGGAACUGAAACAUCUAAGUACCCCGAGGAAAAGAAAUCAACCGAGAUUCCCCCAGUAGCGGCGAGCGAACGGGGAGCAGCCCAGAGUCUGAAUCAGCUUGUGUGUUAGUGGAACGGUCUGGAAAGUCCGACGGUACAGGGUGAUAGUCCCGUACACCAAAAUGCACAGGCUGUGAACUCGAAGAGUAGGGCGGGACACGUGGUAUCCUGUCUGAAUAUGGGGGGACCAUCCUCCAAGGCUAAAUACUCCUGACUGACCGAUAGUGAACCAGUACCGUGAGGGAAAGGCGAAAAGAACCCCGGCGAGGGGAGUGAAAAAGAACCUGAAACCGUGUACGUACAAGCAGUGGGAGCACCUUCGGGUGUGACUGCGUACCUUUUGUAUAAUGGGUCAGCGACUUAUAUUCUGUAGCAAGGUUAACCGUAUAGGGGAGCCGCAGGGAAACCGAGUCUUAACUGGGCGUUAAGUUGCAGGGUAUAGACCCGAAACCCGGUGAUCUAGCCAUGGGCAGGUUGAAGGUUGGGUAACACUAACUGGAGGACCGAACCGACUAAUGUUGAAAAAUUAGCGGAUGACUUGUGGCUGGGGGUGAAAGGCCAAUCAAACCGGGAGAUAGCUGGUUCUCCCCGAAAGCUAUUUAGGUAGCGCCUCGUGAAUUCAUCUUCGGGGGUAGAGCACUGUUUCGGCUAGGGGGUCAUCCCGACUUACCAACCCGAUGCAAACUACGAAUACCGAAGAAUGUUAUCACGGGAGACACACGGCGGGUGCUAACGUCCGUCGUGAAGAGGGAAACAACCCAGACCGCCAGCUAAGGUCCCAAAGUCAUGGUUAAGUGGGAAACGAUGUGGGAAGGCACAGACAGCCAGGAUGUUGGCUUAGAAGCAGCCAUCAUUUAAAGAAAGCGUAAUAGCUCACUGGUCGAGUCGGCCUGCGCGGAAGAUGUAACGGGGCUAAACCAUGCACCGAAGCUGCGGCAGCGACACUAUGUGUUGUUGGGUAGGGGAGCGUUCUGUAAGCCUGCGAAGGUGACCUGUGAGGGUUGCUGGAGGUAUCAGAAGUGCGAAUGCUGACAUAAGUAACGAUAAAGCGGGUGAAAAGCCCGCUCGCCGGAAGACCAAGGGUUCCUGUCCAACGUUAAUCGGGGCAGGGUGAGUCGACCCCUAAGGCGAGGCCGAAAGGCGUAGUCGAUGGGAAACAGGUUAAUAUUCCUGUACUUGGUGUUACUGCGAAGGGGGGACGGAGAAGGCUAUGUUAGCCGGGCGACGGUUGUCCCGGUUUAAGCAUGUAGGCUGGUUAUCCAGGCAAAUCCGGAUAAUCAAGGCUGAGGUGUGAUGACGAGGUACUACGGUGCUGAAGUAACAAAUGCCCUGCUUCCAGGAAAAGCCUCUAAGCAUCAGGUAACAUCAAAUCGUACCCCAAACCGACACAGGUGGUCAGGUAGAGAAUACCAAGGCGCUUGAGAGAACUCGGGUGAAGGAACUAGGCAAAAUGGUGCCGUAACUUCGGGAGAAGGCACGCUGGUGUGUAGGUGAAGUCCCUGCGGAUGGAGCUGAGACCAGUCGAAGAUACCAGCUGGCUGCAACUGUUUAUUAAAAACACAGCACUGUGCAAACACGAAAGUGGACGUAUACGGUGUGACGCCUGCCCGGUGCCGGAAGGUUAAUUGAUGGGGUUAUCCGUAAGGAGAAGCUCUUGAUCGAAGCCCCGGUAAACGGCGGCCGUAACUAUAACGGUCCUAAGGUAGCGAAAUUCCUUGUCGGGUAAGUUCCGACCUGCACGAAUGGCGUAAUGAUGGCCAGGCUGUCUCCACCCGAGACUCAGUGAAAUUGAACUCGCUGUGAAGAUGCAGUGUACCCGCGGCAAGACGGAAAGACCCCGUGAACCUUUACUAUAGCUUGACACUGAACAUUGAGCCUUGAUGUGUAGGAUAGGUGGGAGGCUUUGAAGCGUGGACGCCAGUCUGCGUGGAGCCAACCUUGAAAUACCACCCUUUAAUGUUUGAUGUUCUAACGUUGGCCCCUUAUCGGGGUUGCGGACAGUGUCUGGUGGGUAGUUUGACUGGGGCGGUCUCCUCCCAAAGCGUAACGGAGGAGCACGAAGGUUAGCUAAUCCUGGUCGGACAUCAGGAGGUUAGUGCAAUGGCAUAAGCUAGCUUGACUGCGAGCGUGACGGCGCGAGCAGGUGCGAAAGCAGGUCAUAGUGAUCCGGUGGUUCUGAAUGGAAGGGCCAUCGCUCAACGGAUAAAAGGUACUCCGGGGAUAACAGGCUGAUACCGCCCAAGAGUUCAUAUCGACGGCGGUGUUUGGCACCUCGAUGUCGGCUCAUCACAUCCUGGGGCUGAAGUAGGUCCCAAGGGUAUGGCUGUUCGCCAUUUAAAGUGGUACGCGAGCUGGGUUUAGAACGUCGUGAGACAGUUCGGUCCCUAUCUGCCGUGGGCGCUGGAGAAUUGAGGAGGGCUGCUCCUAGUACGAGAGGACCGGAGUGGACGCAUCACUGGUGUUCGGGUUGUCAUGCCAAUGGCACUGCCCGGUAGCUAAAUGCGGAAGAGAUAAGUGCUGAAAGCAUCUAAGCACGAAACUUGCCCCGAGAUGAGUUCUCCCUGAGACUUUAAGUCUCCUGAAGGAACGUUAAAGACGAUGACGUUGAUAGGCCGGGUGUGUAAGCGCAGCGAUGCGUUGAGCUAACCGGUACUAAUGAACCGUGAGGCUUAACCUU